RNAcentral lists this ribosomal RNA (301 nucleotides) under uncultured bacterium. RNAcentral describes it as "partial 16S ribosomal RNA". It matches the Rfam family "Bacterial small subunit ribosomal RNA", at positions 509 to 808 of the family's 1533-position model. The record is from RNAcentral.
CAGCAGCCGCGGGAAUACGAAGGGGGCUAGCGUUGUUCGGAAUCACUGGGCGUAAAGCGCACGUAGGCGGACACUUAAGUCAGAGGUGAAAUCCCAAGGCUCAACCUUGGAACUGCCUUUGAUACUGGGUGUCUUGAGUUCGGGAGAGGUGAGUGGAACUGCGAGUGUAGAGGUGAAAUUCGUAGAUAUUCGCAAGAACACCAGUGGCGAAGGCGGCUCACUGGCCGAUACUGACGCUGAGGUGCGAAAGCGUGGGGAGCAAACAGGAUUAGAUACCCCAGUAGUCCCUGUCUCUUAUACA